UGGGGAAUUUUACGCAAUUGGGGGAAACCCUGACGUAGCGACACCGCGUGAGCGAAGAAGCCCUUUGGGGUGUAAAGCUCUGUCAACAGGAACGAAACAAAUGACGGUACCUGUGGAGGAAGCAUCGGCUAACUACGUGCCAGCAGCCGCGGUAAGACGUAGGAUGCAAGCGUUGUCCGGAUUUAUUGGGCGUAAAGAGUUCGUAGGCGGUUUGUUAAGUCUGAUGUUAAAGACCGGGGCUCAACCUCGGAAAUGCAUUGGAUACUGGCAGACUGGAGUGCAGUAGAGGCUAGUGGAAUUCCCAGUGUAGCGGUGAAAUGCGUAGAUAUUGGGAAGAACACCGGUGGCGUAGGCGACUAGCUGGGCUGUAACUGACGCUGAGGAACGAAAGCCAGGGGGAGCAAA
This 405-nucleotide ribosomal RNA is filed under the name uncultured bacterium. RNAcentral describes it as "partial 16S ribosomal RNA". It matches the Rfam family "Bacterial small subunit ribosomal RNA", at positions 355 to 772 of the family's 1533-position model. The record is from RNAcentral.